GGGGAAUUUUGGACAAUGGGCGCAAGCCUGAUCCAGCAAUGCCGCGUGAGUGAAGAAGGCCUUCGGGUUGUAAAGCUCUUUUGUCAGGGAAGAAACGGGAUUGGCUAAUAUCCAGUCCUAAUGACGGUACCUGAAGAAUAAGCACCGGCUAACUACGUGCCAGCAGCCGCGGUAAUACGUAGGGUGCAAGCGUUAAUCGGAAUUACUGGGCGUAAAGCGUGCGCAGGCGGUUUUGUAAGUCUGUCGUGAAAUCCCCGGGCUCAACCUGGGAAUUGCGAUGGAGACUGCAAGGCUAGAAUCUGGCAGAGAGGGGUAGAAUUCCACGUGUAGCAGUGAAAUGCGUAGAGAUGUGGAGGAACACCGAUGGCGAAGGCAGCCCCCUGGGUCAAGAUUGACGCUCAUGCACGAAAGCGUGGGGAGCAAACAGGAUUAGAUACCCUGGUAGUCCACGCCCUAAACGAUGUCUACUAGUUGUCGGGUUUUAAUUAACUUGGUAACGCAGCUAACGCGUGAAGUAGACCGCCUGGGGAGUACGGUCGCAAGAUUA
Molecule: ribosomal RNA, 547 nt
Filed under: uncultured bacterium
Lineage: Bacteria
Description: bacterial SSU rRNA
Rfam family: Bacterial small subunit ribosomal RNA
Source: RNAcentral